Molecule: non-coding RNA, 229 nt
Organism: Pelobates cultripes (western spadefoot toad)
Lineage: Eukaryota; Metazoa; Chordata; Amphibia; Anura; Pelobatidae
Source: the annotation of a GenBank genome assembly
GGAGAAACUAGGAGGGAAAUAUUUGUCUCCUGUCAUUAAUAAAAUUAAGAUUAUAGUUACACUAAAGCCAGUAUAAUCUACAAUUUUAUAGCAUGACAGGAGGCUUCAUAUUUGCUGUUUUAACGCUCCGACAGCAAAGCAAAUGAAGCAUGAUCCGGUGGUCUAAAAUAAAAUUGGUGAAAGGUAUCUUCUGGGACCAGUCAGCUGAACGCAUAAUAUCCUGAAGGGA